AGCAGCCGCGGUAAUUCCAGCUCCAAUAGCGUAUAUUAAAGUUGUUGCAGUUAAAAAGCUCGUAGUUGAACUUCGGGGUUUACCCAUUGGUCAGGCUUAAUUGUCUGCACUGGUGAGAUGAAUCUCUACCUUCUGAGGAACUUUCAUGCCAUUUAUUUGGUGUGAUGGGAAAUCAGGACUGCUACUUUGAAAAAAUUAGAGUGUUUAAAGCAGGCUGACGUCUGAAUACAUUAGCAUGGAAUAAUGAAAUAGGACGGACUGAUUCUAUUUCGUUGGUUUCUAGGAUCACCGUAAUGAUUAACAGGGAUAGUUGGGGGCAUUAGUAUUCAAUUGUCAGAGGUGAAAUUCUUGGAUUUGUUGAAGACUAACUACUGCGAAAGCAUUUGCCAAGGAUGUUUUCAUUAAUCAAGAACGAAAGUUAGGGGAUCGAAGACGAUCAGAUACCGUCGUAGUCUUAACCAUAAACUAUGCCGACUAGGGAUCGGACGAAGUUAAUUUUAUAAUGACGCGUUCGGCACCUUACG
Molecule: ribosomal RNA, 524 nt
Filed under: uncultured Glomeromycotina
Lineage: Eukaryota; Fungi; Glomeromycota
Description: SSU rRNA
Rfam family: Eukaryotic small subunit ribosomal RNA
Source: RNAcentral